This 803-nucleotide ribosomal RNA is filed under the name uncultured bacterium. Its description in RNAcentral is "bacterial SSU rRNA". It matches the Rfam family "Bacterial small subunit ribosomal RNA", at positions 8 to 809 of the family's 1533-position model. The record is from RNAcentral.
AGAGUUUGAUCCUGGCUCAGGAUGAACGCUGGCGGCGUGCUUAACACAUGCAAGUCGAACGAAGCACUUUAUUUGAUUUCCUUCGGGACUGAUUAUUUUGUGACUGAGUGGCGGACGGGUGAGUAACGCGUGGGUAACCUGCCUUGUACAGGAGGAUAACAGUUGGAAACGGCUGCUAAUACCGCAUAAGCGCACAGCAUCGCAUGAUGCAGUGUGAAAAACUCCGGUGGUAUAAGAUGGACCCGCGUUGGAUUAGCUAGUUGGUGAGGUAACGGCCCACCAAGGCGACGAUCCAUAGCCGACCUGAGAGGGUGACCGGCCACAUUGGGACUGAGACACGGCCCAAACUCCUACGGGAGGCAGCAGUGGGGAAUAUUGCACAAAGGGCGAAAGCCUGAUGCAGCGACGCCGCGUGAGCGAAGAAGUAUUUCGGUAUGUAAAGCUCUAUCAGCAGGGAAGAUAAUGACGGUACCUGACUAAGAAGCACCGGCUAAAUACGUGCCAGCAGCCGCGGUAAUACGUAUGGUGCAAGCGUUAUCCGGAUUUACUGGGUGUAAAGGGAGCGCAGGCGGUGCGGCAAGUCUGAUGUGAAAGCCCGGGGCUCAACCCCGGUACUGCAUUGGAAACUGUCGUACUAGAGUGUCGGAGGGGUAAGCGGAAUUCCUAGUGUAGCGGUGAAAUGCGUAGAUAUUAGGAGGAACACCAGUGGCGAAGGCGGCUUACUGGACGAUAACUGACGCUGAGGCUCGAAAGCGUGGGGAGCAAACAGGAUUAGAUACCCUGGUAGUCCACGCCGUAAACGA